Molecule: ribosomal RNA, 253 nt
Filed under: uncultured bacterium
Lineage: Bacteria
Description: partial 16S ribosomal RNA
Rfam family: Bacterial small subunit ribosomal RNA
Source: RNAcentral
GACGAACCGUCCAAACGUUGUUCGGAAUCACUGGGCUUAAAGGGCGCGUAGGCGGGCUUCCAAGUCGGUGGUGAAAUCUUUCGGCUCAACCGGAAAAGUGCCGCCGAUACUGGAAGCCUCGAGGGAGGUAGGGGUCGAGGGAACUUCCGGUGGAGCGGUGAAAUGCGUAGAUAUCGGAAGGAACGCCGGUGGCGAAAGCGCUCGACUGGACCUCUUCUGACGCUGAGGCGCGAAAGCCAGGGGAGCAAACGGG